This 390-nucleotide unclassified non-coding RNA is filed under the name soil metagenome. RNAcentral's name for it is "partial contains 5.8S ribosomal RNA, internal transcribed spacer 2, and large subunit ribosomal RNA". The stretch from base 1 to 120 matches the Rfam family "5.8S ribosomal RNA", at positions 35 to 154 of the family's 154-position model. The record is from RNAcentral.
GAUGAAGAACGCAGCGAAGUGCGAUAAGUAAUGUGAAUUGCAGAAUUCCGUGAAUCAUCGAAUCUUUGAACGCAAAUUGCGCUUCCUGGCAUCCCGGGAAGUAUGCCUGUUUGAGGGUCAGUGUUAAUAAAAAUCGGUUCGUUGCGAAUUUUUUGUGACGUUCCGGAGUUUGGGUUAUCUUAACUUUUUUGGUUAAGAGGCUUAAAAUUGACCUUUUUUUUGCGCAUUUUUUAGACGUACAUAAAUUUUUUUUUUAUUCGUCUAUUCUUAAUGCCAAAAUAUAUUAGAUGCGACCAUAUCGUGUGGUUCCGUGUCUAUAAAUUUUUCAUGAUUUGACCUCAAAUCAGGUAGGAGUACCCGCUGAACUUAAGCAUAUCAAUAAGCGGAGGA